UGAGAAACCCGAAAGAUCGAAUGGGGAGACUCAUCGUCAGCGGAGUCGGCUUCCAUGUGGUGCGCGAUGACUUGAAUUUUUAUUCGAGUUACGCCAUCGCUGUGGUAUGGGUCCGGCUACGUCGGCGUGCAUUUCUCCUCUAGUAGAACGUCGCGACCCGCUGGGUGUCGGUUUAAGGACCGAGAUCGUAGACUGUUCCGUCGCUUCGGCGUACGGUGGCAGACGCUUGGAUUCCCGACCGGCUGCCCGGCGGUAAACCGCAAGGUAUCGAGCCGCACUCGAAUGCGUUCAGACCCGUUGCAAGCUCGAUCAUCUUCACCCGGAGGUGCGGACCUAGUGCCGUCCCUGGGGAUGGUCGGCUGUUGGUUGACGGUGUUCUCGAACCGGCUUAACAUGCUGUUAAAGCGAUACCGGUCGGCGACGCUAUUGCUUUGGGUACUUUCAGGACCCGUCUUGAAACACGGACCAAGGAGUCUAACAUGUGCGCGAGUCAUUGGGAUAAAUAAAACCUAAAGGCGUAUUGAAAGAGAAGAUCGACCUUGCGUCGAUUGAGGGAGGAUGGGCUAACGUUUCGAUGUUGCUCCGCACUCCCGGGGCGUCUCUUAAAGUCAUUGCGACUUGAGGCGCACCCAGAGCGUACACGUUGGGACCCGAAAGAUGGUGAACUAUGCCUGGUCAGGAUGAAGUCAGGGGAAACCCUGAUGGAGGUCCGUAGCGAUUCUGACGUGCAAAUCGAUCGUCGGAACUGGGUAUAGGGG
Molecule: ribosomal RNA, 758 nt
Filed under: Gryon josephinae
Lineage: Eukaryota; Metazoa; Arthropoda; Insecta; Hymenoptera; Scelionidae
Description: partial large subunit ribosomal RNA
Rfam family: Eukaryotic large subunit ribosomal RNA
Source: RNAcentral